This 167-nucleotide ribosomal RNA is filed under the name Acidimicrobiaceae bacterium TMED189. RNAcentral describes it as "partial 23S ribosomal RNA". It matches the Rfam family "Bacterial large subunit ribosomal RNA", at positions 2759 to 2925 of the family's 2925-position model. Lineage: Bacteria; Bacillati; Actinomycetota; Acidimicrobiia; Acidimicrobiales; Acidimicrobiaceae. The record is from RNAcentral.
CAGGAUAAGCGCUGAAAGCAUCUAAGUGCGAAGCCCCUUCUAAGAUAAGAUUUCUCAUCGGGUUAACCGAUUAAGACUCCUUAUAGAACAUGAGGUUGAUAGGUCAGAAGUGUAAUUACAGUAAUGUAUGUAGCUGACUGAUACUAAUAAGUCGAGGGCUUGAACUG